GAUGAACGCUAGCGACAGGCCUAACACAUGCAAGUCGAGGGGCAGCACAAGGAGCAAUCUGAGGUGGCGACCGGCGCACGGGUGAGUAACACGUAUGCAACCUGCCUGUAAGCGGGGAAUAACCCGUUGAAAGACGGACUAAUACCGCAUAAUACUAAAUUACUGCAUGGUAAUUUAUUUAAACAUUUAUGGCUUACAGAUGGGCAUGCGCAUGAUUAGCUAGUUGGAGAGGUAACGGCUCCCCAAGGCAACGAUCAUUAGGGGUUCUGAGAGGAAGGUCCCCCACACUGGUACUGAGACACGGACCAGACUCCUACGGGAGGCAGCAGUGAGGAAUAUUGGUCAAUGGACGAGAGUCUGAACCAGCCAAGUCGCGUGCAGGAAGAAUGUCCUAUGGAUUGUAAACUGCUUUUGCAGGGGAAUAAAGUGCAUCACGUGUGAUGUUUUGUAUGUACUCUGCGAAUAAGGAUCGGCUAACUCCG
Molecule: ribosomal RNA, 482 nt
Filed under: uncultured bacterium
Lineage: Bacteria
Description: bacterial SSU rRNA
Rfam family: Bacterial small subunit ribosomal RNA
Source: RNAcentral